Clupea harengus (Atlantic herring) is the source of this 3098-nucleotide long non-coding RNA. RefSeq lists it as uncharacterized. NCBI's taxonomy places the organism in Eukaryota, Metazoa, Chordata, Actinopteri, Clupeiformes, Clupeidae. The record is from RefSeq and is a predicted model, not a curated record.
UCAAAUCUAAUUUUGGGAAAUUGGGUGCAAGUGGAUUACCUGAUUGCUCAGAUUUAAUACAGAAAAUACCAGCUCUACCCUUACUGCAACCCCCUCCAUUUGCAGAGAAAAUGGUACAUCCCGACUCUCUUACCCCCUCCCUCUUCCUCACUCUCCCUCACCAGUGUCCUCCAUCACUCUAUUCUUCCCCAUUCUGUCUCCUUGAGAAUCAGACUAGGCCCUUUCCCACUGAGAACUGGAAUUGCUGUCUGUGGAUUUCUGCACUCCUUGCCCUCGCCAAAGCAGAAGAAAAAGGAGCGACAAGAAGAGAACAGAAGCCACACCUAUUUGGAGACAGACAUUAGGUCCUGACUCAGUCACUCCAGCUUUAACAGUCCCAUGGAAGCCAAAGCUAAGAGUGGGGCCCUGAAGCCCAGCGUCAAGGUAGAGAAGAAGGAGCCUGCAGCCCCAAGCAAGCCUGAUGCCGCCCCACCUGCUGCCCCUGCUGAGCCAGCGCCCCCUGCAGAGCCAGAGAACACAGCAGAGGAGACGGCGACUGACCAGCCAGAGGGGACGGAGGGAGCUGAGGCAGCAGAUACUUGUGCCGACACCUUAGAGAACCUGAAGCCCUUCCUCAUUGGUGGAGCCAUCAUCGCUCUCGGGGCCAUCCUGGUUGGGGUAAUAUUAUUGGCCAAGAAGAAUUAACCAGCAGGUUGAGGGGUGAACGGCUAUCUUACUGAUGGGUUCAUAGACUAUCAUAGAGUUGGUGUUUAUAUUAGGGGAAUGGGGAGUCACUGCACUUCUUAAUUUCAGUACAGUUCUGAUUUUAUUCUUAGCAAUGAAAUAAAAAAGUAUAACCUUACAGAGGAUCCAUUUGGACAUCAAGUAAUUCCAUUAUGUUUUAUUAAUAAUCAGUUCACAGAAAUAGACACCUUCAGUCACCCAAUAUGCACAACCUGCAUAAACAUGCAUGUGGUGACAUACAUCCACCCAUUCACACCACACUAUAUCAGAAACAAGCUUGAGGAGUGAUCCACUACUGGCCAAAGUUGAACGCUCAAUUUUUUAUUUCAAAGAAAACCCAUUUAUAACUUGGAAAAGUAAAGUUCACAAUGUAAUGUCUAUUUAUAAUCUAUUGGCUACUUGGCUGCAAUGUUAUUCCAUUGUUCAAUUAUUCAUAACCUGUCCACAAACACAUCUAGGAUACAGCUGAAUUCAAAGUCAUAACUCCUCUGAUACAGAUGCUACUUACAGCCAUUACAUUCAUAUAUUCCACUGGUGUCCUGAGUCAAAUUUACUGAGGUUGACAUAGCCAAAUUAUGGAAAGGUUUUACAUAACCCAACUCAAGUCUUCAAUAUAAAGCAUUAAUCAAUCAGCCUAACAUGUUGAUUGGGAUUUAAUACACACCACCUGAGUGCUACAAAUUAAUUCUAAUUUGGCUGUGAAAUCAUGAUACAUAUCUUAAUGUGUGACUCAUCACUACUGAACCACUAAAAAGUUCAAGUCCACACAAUCCUCUGGGCGUCAUAUCAGUUAGAAGUGUACGGAUGUGUGCACAGAGGCAAGGCUGUGGAAUCCAAAACGUCCCUGUUAGCAAGAAUCAGAUGUUUCCAGAGUGAGUGUUAUUUCAAAUGUGAAAGAAAUGUGGUUAAUAAUAUAUAUUUAUUUUUAUCAAAUAGCUGUGCCAAGUUACUUUUUGUGGGACGUAAAUUAUGGAAUUCAAAGGCAAGAUUGAAUAUUUAAUUUCAAGUUACCCCAAUGCUAAAGAGGCCUUGUAUAUAUUUUAUAUUUUAUUUAUAUUUGUUGAUAGCAUAUAUAUCUUAAAUAAUAAUAAUAUAAUUGUCAGAUUUUAUUGGCAGUAUAUUGAGAUGAACACCUGAGAUAUAGUUAAAUUAAUGGGAAGAACCAUACUGAAGGAAGGACAUUGAUUUUCACAUUUACAGUUUCAACUUGGUUUGAUUUCACAUGCUUUCUAUAUAAGAGUGUGCAUUGUAUUUUCUUGUGUUUGUAAAAAUGACUUACAUGUAUAGCCCAUGUACAUAGAUGAAAGUUCGUCUGUGAUUAUAUAUGUAUAUUAUUCACGCUUACAACAAGGAAAUGCCAAAUCAAAGUAGAUUGUAUCCAGAUAUAUGGUAUAUAAAAGAAGUCGUGUAAAGUAGAGCUGGUUUACUUGGUGACUGAAGAGAUAGCCGACACAUAACUGUUGCUCAUGCCAUCAUUAAAAUGUACAAACAUUUGGCCAACAUUUCCUGUAAAACAAGUUCAAACACUUCAAAUCACAGGUGCAGUUUACAAAAUAAAAUGUUCCUGGACUUUACAAUGAUCAGAAAAUAAGAGUUUCCCAAAUAUAUCUGUGCAUCGUAUGGCCGUUUUAUUGCAGGCCCUUUCAAUUGUCAAAUGUUGUAAAACAAGAUGCAUAGAAUGCACAGGAACGUUUAGGAACAUCCUCUUUUCACUGUCCCUUUACAAUGGCAUCAUUGUUAGGUCUAGAAGGACUUUUAUUUUUUUGACAAACAAAACGGCAAGCUGCAUCUUUAAGUAUGCCAGUUUCAUGUUUCUGUCAUAAAUGUGUUUACUAUACAGUUUGAAUGAGAAUAUUGAAAUUGUGUUGAUCAUCAUCCUCUGUUCAGUCUUUAUUUAAUGAUUUGGAGAACAGCUUAUCCUCUUAGAGUUACAAGUAAUUUAUGACAACCACAUCAAAGGUUUAUACACAAAUGCAUUAAGGAGAACCAUAUUAACCUGAAAGAAAACACACAAAUCACUGAAUGACACUGAUCAUUUCAUGUUCCUUUUUUUCUCAAGAGCGUAUAAAUGCAAUAAUUACAAAACGACUUUUACUUUUUGACAUUUUUUUGCAGAUCAGAUGAUGAUGAAAUCAGAUGAAUAGUCUGUCAAUAAGUACAGUGAUUACAAUGACAUUUGUGGUGGUAGAGCUGAUUUUUGUGAGUUCAACAGUGAUGAUAAAUCAAGCUGAUGAUAAUAGAGGCCUUUAUGUUCACAGAUUACUUUUAUUCCCCUGUAGCCUCCAUUACUCUUUGCUCUCCUGCCCUCUUUCAACUCACACUUCAAUAAAGUGGCCCUAAUGGCUUGUCCUUUAUUAAAGACAAAUGAACCAUUA